GGAGACGGUUAUCGACCCCGAGUUCCUCAUUCGAUUCAAGGAUGGAUGAUGAAGGGAUUGCUGCCGUUGGAUCAGGAACUUCGACUCGGUGUUUCUCCGUACAUUGGUAGGGGGAGGAGUACCAUCGGUAAAUGUAGUGGAUGCUAUUGCUGCUAAUUACAAUAUACGCCAAGGUCAAAUUGUGAUUUUCAUCCCUCUAUUAUGAUCUUGUUUGAGAUUUAAUCUCAAUAAAAUAUUUCAUCUUUCUAUUUUUUAUGAUGUUAUUAAGUAAUACAAAUAGCUAAGAAACACCAUUUUCAACUAGAUUUUUUUUUCCAAAAAGAGUGCUUUCUUUUAGAAAUUUAACACCUAUAAUUGUAAUAAUUUUUUUUCUAAUUAGUCGAUAUAAAAACGACAAAGAUAGAAAGACGUUAGAAAAUACCAACCUCUUUCAAAGACAAAAACAUUACAAAAACUCCUAGAGUAAUAUUUCGCUUUGAAAUAUACUCAACUUGAGACGAUCAACAUCAACUCAAACCAAAACUAAUAUGCAGCCCACAAUAAUCACCUCCCGACUUUCAAAAAACAAAGGACUCCUUAUACCUGCUAUUGCCAGAGCAUCAGCCAUACUAUUUCAUUGCCAUUAAACAACUACAAAAUAAACUCAACACAGCUAGAUUACAUACUAACGGGGCUUUCACAUGCUAACCAUACCACUAAUCAACGCCGAUGCAAUCAGUACAGAUAACAGAGCACAAGCCACUUCUUAUGUCUCUCAAUGGCAUAAUGUCAAAUUUAGCCUUUAAUGUUUAUGUCUUUUGUCAAUUUGGUCAUAAUUCUUCUUCUGUUCUUCUUUUCUUUAAGCAAAUUUAGUCUUCAACCUUUUAGAAAUAGUGAAAUUUAAUCACCAAUCUUUUAAAAAAGAGUCAAAUUAACUUUUUUAUCUAAAAUAUUGACUAAAAUGUUAAGUUAUUAAAUUUUAUGCUAUUUUUAUGCAAUUUUUAUAUUUUGUUUCAAUUUUUAUUUUAUUUUUUUCAUAAAUUUUAAAUUAUUUAUUGACAUAACAUAUAAGACAAAUAGAGCCAUAAUAACUUGAAGUGUAUGUCGACUCUUACGCAAGUUACCACGCCAAUAUCACUAAAAAAGUUAAAGUUUUAAUCAGAAUUUCCAUUAAAAAGAACAAUUUGACUCUUUUUAAAAGGUAAGAACCAAAUUUAGUUAAAAAAAGAAGAAGAUCAAAUUAAUAAAAAUAUAAACGUUAAGCGUUAAAUUUAUUAUCAUGCCAAUUUAUAUGCAUAAUCUAAUUACUUCGUACGUUGUUAUCCGUAACCUACUCAAUUUAUCAGUAGUUCAAUGUAGCGGGAGCCAUGAUUUUCUAAAAUUAUUAGAACUUAAUCAGAUUCUUCAAAAUUUGUGAAAAUUUUAAACAGAACUUAUUAAACAAAUUCGAAUCAAACUAAACUUAAGUAAAUAUUAUGAUACUGCAAUAUAUAAUCCCGACCCAAUUCUUAAACGCUAAUAUUUUUAGAAUCGAAUCGAUAAUCAAAUUAGUCAAGUCAUUCAUCAAUCUUACCGAUUUGAUAAAAAAUAAAAAAAAUCAUAAAAAAAGGAUAUUUAAAAACCUGAUUUAGCCGAUUCGCAAUUCAACCAAUUCUUUAUCCUUCUUCAAACUGAUAUCUCGAUCCGACCUGUCCAUUCCGAAUCAAACAACCUUAAUUAAUUGGGGCAUAUUCUUUCCUUUUCUCUCUCAUAUAAUUUGUGACUUAUUUAAUGCUCCAUGGGAAGAUAGAUAGAAGUUCCUAUCUUGGUAUUUAUUGGGGUUUUUUCUUUUGUUUUUCAGUUCAAUGUUUUAAUUUU
This 1836-nucleotide long non-coding RNA is filed under the name Gossypium raimondii (Peruvian cotton). RNAcentral's name for it is "long non-coding RNA (GRAI_LNC003337)". The record is from RNAcentral. Lineage: Eukaryota; Viridiplantae; Streptophyta; Magnoliopsida; Malvales; Malvaceae.